AACGCAACUUGCGCCCACGUCCCUCGGGACAAGGGCAUGUCUGCCUCAGCGUCGGCUUCAACCCUCGCGGCUCGUUCCUUUUCCAUCGAGCGAACGAGCCCGCGGAUCUGGCCCUCUCACCCGUGUCUCGUCCACUACUCGACGACCCACGAUUGCGGUGGGUGGGCUGAAGCGCAGAGGCUCGAGCAUGGACCCCGUUCGCAGGGCGUCGACUUGGCAGGUAGGAUGUCCUACACCCACUGUCGACGGCCGAGGGGCUCGUGCUGGAGGCCCAGCAGGAACCGGGGAAGGGAGGCGUCGUUGGUUGGUUGGCUGUCGGCUGGUCGAGAGUGGCGUCGGUCACUCGGAACCACCCCCGACAACAACAACCCAAACCACAAACCCCCCCGGCAAACCAUCGACUUUACGACCUGAGCUCAGGCAAGGCUACCCGCUGAACUUAA
This 443-nucleotide unclassified non-coding RNA is filed under the name uncultured fungus. Its description in RNAcentral is "partial contains 5.8S ribosomal RNA, internal transcribed spacer 2, and large subunit ribosomal RNA". The record is from RNAcentral. Lineage: Eukaryota; Fungi.